Molecule: ribosomal RNA, 253 nt
Filed under: uncultured bacterium
Lineage: Bacteria
Description: partial 16S ribosomal RNA
Rfam family: Bacterial small subunit ribosomal RNA
Source: RNAcentral
UACGUAGGUCCCGAGCGUUGUCCGGAUUUAUUGGGCGUAAGGAGAACGCAGGCGGUCUUUUAAGUCUGAUGUGAAAGCCUUCGGCUUAACCGGAGUAGUGCAUUGGAAACUGGGAGACUUGAGUGCAGAAGAGGAGAGUGGAACUCCAUGUGUAGCGGUGAAAUGCGUAGAUAUAUGGAAGAACACCAGUGGCGAAAGCGGCUCUCUGGACUGUAACUGACACUGAGGUACGAAAGCGUGGGGAGCAAACAGG